Long non-coding RNA from Formica exsecta, 769 nucleotides. RefSeq lists it as uncharacterized. Lineage: Eukaryota; Metazoa; Arthropoda; Insecta; Hymenoptera; Formicidae. The transcript is spliced from 2 exons. The record is from RefSeq and is a predicted model, not a curated record.
CGUGCUCGAUUUUGUGUGUGUGUGAGAGAGAGAGAGAGAGAGAACUAAUUUCUUUGAAUAAAUAUUUUUUUCCAAGUGUUCUCUAAAAAUUUUCAGAGGUUGACAUACUUUGUGAAGAAGCGGUACUAACGUAAGAUAUAAUCUCCGAGCGGAUGAAAAGAAUCGAGAUAGUUGACGAGAAUUAAGUUCUAUUCGUCUUACGAAACAAGUUAGAUUAGUUUGUGUUCACGAGUCGAACACGUUUUGGAGGCUCAUGCGUUUUUAACUUAUAAGCAUUAAUGUUAAUCAUUUUCUCUUUGAAGAUGUCUCUAAGAGACCAGGAAAGGGAGACGCAACAAGGAAUCUUCCAAUUUUAUGACAGAUGAUGAAAACGUAAUGUGAAAAAGUAACAUGAAAAGGUAUUUCUAUUAUAAAAAAAAUGUGCAUUUUGUACAUAUAUAAAAUUUGUAAAAGAAGAUUAAAAAGAGAGAAAAACAUAUAUAUACAGCGAGCUGUAUAUUACAUUUAUGUCUGCUGAGUGUCAGAGAAACAAAAUGUACAGCUUAUCGAGUAUUAUUUCUGAACCAAAAAUUAUUUCUAUCACAGGUAGUUUACAACUGCUUGAAUUUAGAUUAAUGCCUCUUUGUCUUAAUAUAACUUUAAUCAAAUACAUUCACUUUUUUGUAUAUUAUAAAUAUCUGUUUAUAAAGAUAAAAAAUUGACAAUAUUACAAAAUCUAAAAAUAUUAAGUAUGAUAAAGCUUUCUACAAAGUUACCGUAUUUUAAAAAA